Molecule: transfer RNA, 76 nt
Filed under: Planctomycetota bacterium
Lineage: Bacteria; Pseudomonadati; Planctomycetota
Description: Planctomycetes bacterium (sediment metagenome) tRNA-Thr
Rfam family: tRNA
About the family: Transfer RNA (tRNA) molecules are approximately 80 nucleotides in length. Their secondary structure includes four short double-helical elements and three loops (D, anti-codon, and T loops).
Source: RNAcentral
GCCAGCGUAGCUCAAUCGGCAGAGCACAGCUUUCGUAAAGCUGGGGUUGUGGGUUCAAGUCCCACCGCUGGCUCCU